Molecule: long non-coding RNA, 1001 nt
Filed under: Felis catus (domestic cat)
Lineage: Eukaryota; Metazoa; Chordata; Mammalia; Carnivora; Felidae
Description: lncRNA (ENSFCAG00000051962.1)
Source: RNAcentral
AUGUUAAAAUUGAAAAUGUUUAUUACAGAGUUAAUUUCACGAAUAAAAAAUUUUAAAAAAAAUAAAAAAAUAAAAAUACCCCAAUGCAGAGGCUAUAAAGUACUCUAUUUCGGGGUUGGAGAUUUGGAAAUGAGAUUGGUCACCAGAGUGAAUACAUGAGACUCUUUGCAAAGUGUAAUGAAUGAAUAUGAUUUACAUGUUCCAUGUGUUCAGGUCAUUCCAGUCAGGUAUGCAAAGUUUAUGGGCAUUAGGAGUUAACUUAUUGUGGGUUUUUUUUUUUUUGCAUAUUAGAGAAUUUGGAAAAUAGAAGUAUAAGUUUCUACUGAUGUAUCAAUGGAAAAACCAUUUAAAGCAGAUGUACAUUUGAAUUACAACGUAAAUUCAAUGUAACAAGUGUACUGAGUACUUUACUAAGGCCAGUACUUGAGUAUACAAAUAUAAACAGGACACAGUUCAUAUUCUCCAUGAGGUUAUCAGCUAAUGGGUGAAGGUGGGGGGCAUAAGACACACUCUAAUUACUUUACUAAAGAGUGAAGUAAAACAGAGGAAACUGCCAUUUAAGAUAGCAAGUUGAAUACAUGAUUAGAUCUGCUUCUUCCUGAAAUCCCACCAAAAUGACAGUAAAAAGAUUUUUGACACACAAAGACAUAGAGAGCAGGAGGAGAGAAAACAAAAUAAGACUACUGGAAGCUGGAAAGCAACUGGACUAAUGACAACUGAUUUAGCAGAACUGGAAUAGUUGAAUCCUAAGCCUACAGUGGAAAAAAAGCAAGUGAAUUACAUUAUAGAAUUCUCAAGAAACAUGGGAGAUACAGGAUCUGAGGUAUCUUUGAAAAUGUAAACUGAAGCUAAAAGUCUGAAAGUCUGUUUACAAUAACCUCCCUACAACUCUGUCCCACCCAGCAGAAUACUUAAGUAAGUUGCUGACCUAAUAUCCGAUUACUCUUGAAUGCUUUUCUAUAUACAUAUUCUACAAAUAAAAAUAUUUUCUUACAUGGACA